GGGACGGCGAUUUCUCGUUAUCGAUGGUUAAAAUUCAUUUGCCUCUUUCGUUCGUCAGCUGUGGCAGAGUGCACUUGAUUUUUAAUCAAACAGGGAAACGCAUGGAAUUUUAAUGGCCGCCACCCAUAUGUAUUAAUACUUGGCGAUUAAAUUCGGUUAAUUGGGGGAUUUCGCACCAAUUCGAGAAUGGAAUUUCACCCCUUCUCUCCAGUAGGAGGAUAUAGUUGCGUUGUUCUCCUUCAUUGUUGCUGCUGGUAAUUUUCCAUCGAGAACUGUUGCAUUCAUCGAUAAUUAGCUCUCUUAUUUAAAGAGGUUUUUUUUUAAAUUUUUUUUUUGGAAAUUCGGGAACUGAGCUCACUUCUCUGGAUGACAUCUCCUUUUAAAUAAAGGUAAGCGU
Photinus pyralis (common eastern firefly) is the source of this 397-nucleotide long non-coding RNA. RefSeq lists it as uncharacterized. The record is from RefSeq and is a predicted model, not a curated record. The transcript has 3 exons. NCBI's taxonomy places the organism in Eukaryota, Metazoa, Arthropoda, Insecta, Coleoptera, Lampyridae.